UGCCCCUGGUCAUUAAUAAUCAUGAUACCUUUUGAGCUCAUUUCUUUUUCUUACGCAGCUCCUUGCUCUUUUUUUCCUUCCCAAUUUGUCCCCCUUUUUUCCCCAUCCCAGGAAAAGGCUACAAAGAAGACGGCGACAGAUAGAAAUGUUCAUAAAUGAACUAUAUUUCUUGAGGGCAGUGGAGAUGGUAGAAAAUCUACCAAGAAUGCUGUGGUUUGAGAAACGGGAGCGUGUUCGCGCUCAUUCGCAAAGAUAACGGGGGGGAUGAAAAGCGCGAGUCGAACUGAAGUAACUGUGUUCUGACCAUCCGAUAUAUAAGAGAGUAACAUAACAGUAAGUUAUAAAAGUAUAGAAGAAGAUUAUAAAAUGGUAUCUAAGAGGUCAAAUAUCCAAAAUUGAUAGAAGGUAUUAGGUUGAAGAAUCCAAAAAAAGAAAAAAAAAAUUAUAAUUGCUGGCCACUUUUGCUUUGUGACCGUUCAACCCAUUGAGAAACCACGAAAAUAAAAAUUUUGCAAACAAAAAGAUUAAAAAUAAAAUAUAAAAAAAAGAGAGAGAACGAAAAGAAAAGGGAAAAAGAAAAGAGAAAAAGAAAAGGUCAAACAAACAGCCAC
Molecule: small RNA, 611 nt
Filed under: Histoplasma ohiense
Lineage: Eukaryota; Fungi; Ascomycota; Eurotiomycetes; Onygenales; Ajellomycetaceae
Description: hypothetical lncRNA
Source: RNAcentral